RNAcentral lists this ribosomal RNA (381 nucleotides) under uncultured fungus. RNAcentral's name for it is "eukaryotic LSU rRNA". It matches the Rfam family "Eukaryotic large subunit ribosomal RNA", at positions 24 to 363 of the family's 3401-position model. The record is from RNAcentral. Lineage: Eukaryota; Fungi.
CCCGACUGAACUUAAGCAUAUCUAAUAAGCGCGAGGAAAGAGAAACCAACAGGGAAUUGCCUCAGUAACUGCGAGUGAAGCUGGCACACAGCUCAAAUUGCGAAAUCUGGGCUCUUUUAGAGGUCCGAGCUAGUAAUGAGUAGACGAUGCAUUGGCAUUGGCUCCGGACUAACUCCCUUGGAACAUGACGUCAUCGAGGGUGAGAAUCCCGUAUGUGAUCGGUAGCCUUUGCCAUGUGAAGCUCCUUCGACGAGUCGAGUUGUCUGGGAAUGCAGCUCGAUAUGGGAGGUAAAUUUCUACUAGANGCUACAUUAGCUGGCCCAUGNAGACCCGCACUANGCCGCCGACGAUGGUUAAGAAAGUUUGGAUUGCGGGGAAAAG